RNAcentral lists this ribosomal RNA (496 nucleotides) under uncultured bacterium. RNAcentral's name for it is "partial 16S ribosomal RNA". It matches the Rfam family "Bacterial small subunit ribosomal RNA", at positions 28 to 506 of the family's 1533-position model. The record is from RNAcentral.
GAUGAACGCUGGCGGCGUGCCUAAUACAUGCAAGUCGAGCGAACGGACGAGAAGCUUGCUUCUCUGUUGUUAGCGGCGGACGGGUGAGUAACACGUGGAUAACCUACCUAUCAGACUGGGAUAACUUCGGGAAACCGGAGCUAAUACCGGAUAAUAUUUUGAACCGCAUGGUUCAAAAGUGAAAGACGGUCUUGCUGUCACUUAUCGAUGCAUUCGCGCUUCAUUAGCUAGUUGGUAAGGUAACGGCUUACCACGGCAACGAUGCAUAGCCGACCUGUGAGGGGGAUCGGCCACACAGGAACUGAGACACGGUCCAGGCUCCGACGGGAGGCAGCAGUAGGGAAGCGUCCGCAAUGGGCGAAAGCCUGACGAAGCAGCGCCGGGUGGGUGAUGAAGGGCUUCGGAUGGUAAAACGCUGUUAUGAGGGAAGAACAUAUGUGUAAGUAACUGUGCACAUCUGGACGGUACCUAAUCAGAAAGCCACGGCAAACUACGU